UACGGGGGGGGCAAGCGUUGUUCGGAAUUACUGGGCGUAAAGGGCUCGUAGGCGGCCAACUAAGUCAGACGUGAAAUCCCUCGGCUUAACCGGGGAACUGCGUCUGAUACUGGAUGGCUUGAGUUUGGGAGAGGGAUGCGGAAUUCCAGGUGUAGCGGUGAAAUGCGUAGAUAUCGGGAGGAACACCAGUGGCGAAGGCGGUUGCCUGGAGCUUUGCUGACGCUGAGGCGCGAAAGCGUGGGGAGCGAUCCGG
RNAcentral lists this ribosomal RNA (253 nucleotides) under uncultured bacterium. RNAcentral describes it as "partial 16S ribosomal RNA". It matches the Rfam family "Bacterial small subunit ribosomal RNA", at positions 524 to 776 of the family's 1533-position model. The record is from RNAcentral.